Molecule: ribosomal RNA, 732 nt
Filed under: uncultured bacterium
Lineage: Bacteria
Description: bacterial SSU rRNA
Rfam family: Bacterial small subunit ribosomal RNA
Source: RNAcentral
GCAAUACUUGAUGGCGACCGGCAAACGGGUGCGGAACACGUACACAACCUUCCUACAAGUGGGGAAUAGCCCAGAGAAAUUUGGAUUAAUACCCCGUAACAUAUAGAGAUGGCAUCAUUUUUAUAUUAUAGCUACGGCGCUUGUUGAUGGGUGUGCGGCUGAUUAGGUAGUUGGCGGGGUAACGGCCCACCAAGCCUUCGAUCAGUAGCUGAUGUGAGAGCAUGAUCAGCCACACGGGCACUGAGACACGGGCCCGACUCCUACUGGAGGCAGCAGUAAGGAAUAUUGGACAAUGGGCGCAAGCCUGAUCCAGCCAUGCCGCGUGAAGGAUUAAGGUCCUCUGGAUUGUAAACUUCUUUUAUAAGGGACGAAAAAAGGGAAUUCUUUCUCACUUGACGGUACCUUAUGAAUAAGCACCGGCUAACUCCGUGCCAGCAGCCGCGGUAAUACGGAGGGUGCAAGCGUUAUCCGGAUUCACUGGGUUUAAAGGGUGCGUAGGCGGGUAUUUAAGUCAGUGGUGAAAUCCUAGAGCUUAACUCUAGAACUGCCAUUGAUACUAUUUAUCUUGAAUAUUGUGGAGGUAAGCGGAAUAUGUCAUGUAGCGGGUGAAAUGCUUAGAUAUGACAUAGAACACCUAUUGGCGAAGGCAGCUUACUACGCAUAUAUUGACGCUGAAGCACCAAAGCGUGGGGAUCAAACAGGAUUAGAUACCCUGGUAGUCCACGCCCUAAA